CCUACGGUGGGCAGCAGUGGGGAAUAUUGGACAAUGGGGGCAACCCUGAUCCAGCCAUGCCGCGUGUGUGAAGAAGGCCCUCGGGUUGUAAAGCACUUUCAGUGAUGAAGAACGCCUGGUGGUUAAUACCCAUCAGGAAAGACAUCACUCACAGAAGAAGCACCGGCUAACUCCGUGCCAUCAGCCGCGGUAAUACGGAGGGUGCGAGCGUUAAUCGGAAUUACUGGGCGUAAAGCGCGCGUAGGUGGCUUGAUAAGCCGGUUGUGAAAGCCCCGGGCUCAACCUGGGAACGGCAUCCGGAACUGUCAAGCUAGAGUGCAGGAGAGGAAGGUAGAAUUCCCGGUGUAGCGGUGAAAUGCGUAGAGAUCGGGAGGAAUACCAGUGGCGAAGGCGGCCUUCUGGACUGACACUGACACUGAGGUGCGAAAGCGUGGGUAGCAAACAGGAUUAGAUACCCUAGUAGUC
RNAcentral lists this ribosomal RNA (465 nucleotides) under Vreelandella stevensii. Its description in RNAcentral is "partial 16S ribosomal RNA". It matches the Rfam family "Bacterial small subunit ribosomal RNA", at positions 338 to 795 of the family's 1533-position model. Lineage: Bacteria; Pseudomonadati; Pseudomonadota; Gammaproteobacteria; Oceanospirillales; Halomonadaceae. The record is from RNAcentral.